RNAcentral lists this ribosomal RNA (245 nucleotides) under uncultured bacterium. RNAcentral's name for it is "partial 16S ribosomal RNA". It matches the Rfam family "Bacterial small subunit ribosomal RNA", at positions 335 to 570 of the family's 1533-position model. The record is from RNAcentral.
ACUCCUACGGGAGGCAGCAGUGGGAAUAUUGCACAAUGGGCGCAAGCCUGAUGCAGCCAUGCCGCGUGUGUGAAGAAGGCUUUUCGGGUUGUAAAGCACUUUCAGUGGGGAGGAAGGCUUGAUGGUUAAUACCCAUCAAGAUUGACGUUACCCACAGAAGAAGCACCGGCUAACUCCGUGCCAGCAGCCGCGGUAAUACGGAGGGUGCAAGCGUUUAAUCGGGAAUUACUGGGGCGUAAAAGCGC